RNAcentral lists this long non-coding RNA (2934 nucleotides) under Medicago truncatula (barrel medic). RNAcentral's name for it is "long non-coding RNA (MTRU_LNC003462)". Lineage: Eukaryota; Viridiplantae; Streptophyta; Magnoliopsida; Fabales; Fabaceae. The record is from RNAcentral.
UACACUCAUAUAAUAAUUCAUUAAUCAUGAACAACAUCAUAUACAUUCAUUCAAUCAUGAACAACAUCAUAUAUAUUUAUUAAAUAAUUCAUCAAUCAUGAACAACCUCAUAUAUACUCAUAUAAUAAUUCAUCGAUCAUUAACAACAUCAUAUUCAUCAACAUAUACAUUCAUAUAGAUAUUAAAUCAUCCAACAAAGAUAUUCACGUCACACCAAGUUAGAUCCAUCACAACAUAGGUUAAAUACUCUUAAACACCUUAAUUCAACUCAUAGUACACAAGUUUUGAAUUUUGGAGACAAUCCAUAAAUUUUGGGUUGACUUACAAAUAGUUAUGCGGAAUUUUUAUAAAAUUUCACUAAGAUUGAACUCAACCUUCCUUCAAAACAAAAAAGAAAAAGAUUGAACCCAACCUCUCUCUCUCUGUCACUCUUCUUCGGAACACCGUGACCUUCAGAAUGUUUCGGUUUUCAUCUUUGUUAACCAAACGCAACCUCACAUCACGUUUAUCGACCGUUCUCUCUUCAACUUUUCAGAUCCGACACAUCUCCAACAACGCUACUCCAUGCAUCGACGAGCCGCGGUGUAAGAUCUGGAUCGCGGGACUCAUGGGCACUGAAUCAACGAGUCCUGAGUUACGAGAUCUCUUCUAUGCCUGUGACAUGGAAGGGUAUAGAAAAACCAAAAGUCGUAAUAGCCAUAACAUGUCAAGAAUCAGAUACAAAAUAAGGUCCGAGUACCAAAUUGAUCCAUGUCAAAUAGUGUACACGUACCUGAGAUUGAAAGGCAUGAAGGUAAUGUAAUGAGAGAGUUUAUUAUAUUAUGUUUGUUUUGGAUCUGAUAUGAUUUGUUUAUUUCGGAUCUGAUUUGCUUUGUUUCUUUCUUUUGAAAAAGAAUAUGAUAUGCUUUGUUUAUUUUGGAUCUGAUUUGCUUUGUUUUUUUCUUUUUGGAAAAGAAUAUGAUAUGCUUUGUUUAUUAUUGUGGGUUAAUAUUAAAUUCAAUAACAGUAAAUCAUUAAUGGUGCGUUUGAUAAGUUAUUUUUAAUUAAUUCAUGGUGGGAACAUUUAUUCAAUCAUUGAUUUUAUCAAAAAUAAAAUAAUAUCUACCAUUGAUUUGUUAAUUUAACCUAUUCAAAGUGUGAAAUGAAUAAGAGAAUUGUUGUUCACACAUUUGAUAAGGCCGAGAAACACGAGUAAAAUACGUUUUUGCCCCCUUGGCAGUCAGUUAACUGCCGAGCAAUUCAUCAUCAACAAUGUUUCACGUAAUUCCAAUCAACAAUUCAUCAAUUAUCUUCACUUCAACAAUGCAAUAAUAACAACAACAACAACAAUGCAACAACAACAACAACAAUUCGACAAUGCAACAACAACAACUCAACAAAUGCUAAUAUGCAUGUGGUACCAUCAGAGCAUCAAGCGCCCUUCGAUUAAAUAACAGAGCAUCAAACUCCAUUUGCUUAAAAUUAACAGAGCAUCAAGCCCUCUUCGCUUAAAAUGAUUAUGUAUUGACACAACCAAUGCAACAACAACAACAACAACAACCACGACAACUUUGCAUUAUGACUUCAUAAUUCAUCAAUCAUAAACAACAUCAUAUACAUUCAUAUUCAUCAACAGAUACAUUCAUAUAAUAAUUCAUUAAUCAUGAACAACAUCAUAUAACAUCAUAUCAUCAAGAUAUACACUCAUAUAAUAAUUCAUUAAUCAUGAACAACAUUAUAUAUAUUCAUAUAAUAAUUCAUCAGUCAUGAACAACAUCAUAUAACGUCAUAUUCAUCAACAUAUACACUCAAAUAAUAAUUCAUUAAUCAUGAACAACAUCAUAUACAUUCAUAUAAUAAUUCAUCAAUUACGAACAACAUCAUAUAUAUUCAUAUAAUAAUUCAUCAAUCAUGAAAAACAUCAUAUACAUUCAUAUUCAUCAACAUAUACACUCAUAUAAUAAUUCAUCAAUCAUUAACAACAUCAUAUAACCUCAUAUUCAUCAACAUAUACACUCAUAUAAUAAUUCAUUAAUCAUGAACAACAUGAUAUAUAUUUAUUAAAUAAUUCAUCAAUCAUGAGCAACCUCAUAUAUAUUCAUAUAAUAAUCCAUCAAUCAUUAACAACAUCAUAUUCAUCAACAUAUACAUUCAUAUAGAUAUUAAAUCAUCCAACAAAGAUAUUCACGUCACACCAAGUUAGAUUCAUCACAACAUAGGUUAAAUACUCUUAAACACCUUAAUUCAACUCAUAGUACACAAGCUUUGAAUUUUAAAGACAAUCCAUAAGUUUUGGGUUGACUUAGAAAUAGUUAUGCGGAAUUUUCAUAAAAUUUCACUAAGAUUGAACUCAACCUUCCUUCAAAACAAAAAAGAAAAAGAUUGAACCCAACCUCUCUCUCUCACUCUUCUUUGGAACACCGUGACCUUCAAAAUGUUUCGGUUUUCAUCUUUGUUAACCAAACGCAACCUCACAUCACGUUUAUCGGCCGUUCUCUCUUCAACUUUCCAGAUCCGACACAUCUCCAACAACACUACUCCAUGCAUCGACGAGCCGCGGUGUAAGAUCUGGAUCGCGGGACUCAUGGGCACUGAAUCAACGAGUCCUGAGUUACGAGAUCUCUUCUACGCCUGUGACAUGGAAGGUUAUAGAAAAACCAAAAGCGGUAAUAGCCAUAACAUGUCAAGAAUUAGAUACAAAAUAAGGUCCGAGUACCAAAUUGAUCCAUGUCAAAUAGUGUACAUGUACCUGAGAUUGAAAGGCGUGAAGGUAAUGUAAUGAGAGAGAGUUUAUUAUAUUAUGUUUGUUUUGGAUCUGAUAUGAUUUGUUUAUUUCGGAUCUGAUUUGCUUUGUUUCUUUCUUUUGAAAAAGAAUAUGAUAUGCUUUGUUUAUUACAGAUCUGAUUUGCUUUGUUUCUUUCUUUUUGGAAAAGAAUAUGAUAUGCUUUGUUUAUU